Anolis carolinensis (green anole) is the source of this 2249-nucleotide long non-coding RNA. RefSeq lists it as uncharacterized. The record is from RefSeq and is a predicted model, not a curated record. NCBI's taxonomy places the organism in Eukaryota, Metazoa, Chordata, Lepidosauria, Squamata, Anolidae. The transcript is spliced from 4 exons.
CACAGGUGGAGAGUAAAUCACAAGCCUGGAGUGCUUCAGCUUGCUGCUAAAGCACCAUACAAUUGGAGAGGUCUAUGUCCAAUGCCUUCUGCUGCAUUUUAUAUAGGUGGCACUCCAUUUGAGACCAGGACCCACAGUUUGAGAAGCUGUCUACAUCAUUGUUAUUUGGGUUCCAUGGAGGAGUUUUCAUGUUCAAAACUACAGCAGCAGAGGGAGGAGAGACCUGACCAGGCACACCAACCAAACCUUGUUUAGCCCUGCUGGACAGUCACAGUUACAUUUGCUGUUAUUUGUCACUCUGACAGUUGCCACAGAGGUCUGGAGACCUCUUGGCUAUCAAUGGGCACCUUUUGCGAUGAUCCUGGAUGCUUCCUUUAGAGACGUUUCAAAAGGCCCAGCCAUGACUGCUAUAAAGACUGCAUAAUUGCAUAUUGGGGUCCAUCUGUACAGUAGUUACUUAUGAUGAUACGGUGGAGGUGGAUCCACAGAGAAGUUUACUCCAUUAGAGAAGACUCCUCCUGAUUCAACAUUAUGCCUUUUAGAAAAAUAUUUGGACAUCACAGCAGCAGCAUUCAGAGGAAAAACAUAAGGAUAAAAAUAAGUAGUUUACCAGCUUCUCAUUCAAAUUAUUUGAAGUGAAAAUGAUGGUCUUCUUGUGACACCGUAAUGAUGAACUUUAAGAAAAACAUAAAACUGCCUCCUUUUUAACAGUUAAGCCAGCAUUUGAAAUUGGUAGUGCAGAUUAACUAUUUGACAUUCAUGUGGCAUUUUUCUGUCUUCAUUUUUCAGGAUUUUUAAUGUUUUUGGGAAGGAUUGUUCUUCUAUCUUCUGUAUUGUCAGAAAAAAAUGCACUCAACGCAUAGCAUUCAACAAAGUAAAAUGUUAGUUUCAUCAAAUACAUUUUUGUGAUCAUUUCUGGGGGUUUUGUUCAUUCUAAUUAUACAACUGUGGGAGUAUAAUUUCAGUGUUCUGCCAUGAAGAACAUUCUAUUCCUAAUCAAAUGGAUACAAUUUAUCCUAUCAAUAGGCAGUUUAGCAUGGAUAAUCUCUUUGGUAAAGUGGACUUACUUUUAAAAUUAGAAACAAUGGCUUCUGUACCAGAGCUUUUCAGUGAAGUUGACCCAUUGUUUCUUCUGCAAUUCACCAGAAGCAAAAUUGAAAUAGUCAUUCUACAUAGCACUUAGUAUUGCACCAUUUAAUCCACUGUAAAAGUCUUUUUCCCUUACAAUCAAGAUCUUUUCAUAGUUAAUGUCUACUCAAGUAAGUCCCAUUUAACAAUGAUCCCCUGAAAUAUUAAUUCAAACUUUCUUCUUUAUUGGUUCAGCCCAUUUUAUUGCUGUCUUUCAGUGCUGCUGGGGCUUUUGUGAUGCAUUGUGCCUUCAUUAAUUCAACCAGGCAAUGUUAUUUCCCCAUUUUAGAAGUAGUUACUGGUUUCUUUGCAUUAUUAUACAUCAAAAUGGCCAUAUUUAUGUAGAAAGAAUGAAAAUCCAUCAUUCAGACAAGGGCUCAAUUUAACAGUGUCAGAGCAUAAAACUCCAGUGUGCUCAUGAGGGAGGUCCAGAACAUCAAGAGCUGUUCUUCUUUCUCUAGCUGUGCAACAGCAAACAAGUAGUACCUGGGAGUGCAUCUAGAGAGAACCAAUAGGCUUUUCAUUUGGGGAAGAAAACUAUAUAGUAAGGUGAAGGAUUUUGUAUAAAUUACUAAGAAUGUAUCCACACUGAAAUUACUCCUGGUUACAUUAGAAUAAAGUCCAAAGAAGAUUUUGACCACAAACACAAGGGACAAAAUUGACUCAUGGCCAGGUCAAUGCUAAUCCUCAUUUAUGCUUAACAGGAAGAAAUAAAAGAAAGCCACAUAUGAAAGUUCCAGAAGCCUUUAAGAGCAACCACCUCAGUAGUGUUAUUUCAUGAAUACAAAUGAAAUAAGAAGCAAGACACAAAGACUUGAGUUAUACAAUGGUUACUUUAUUUGUCAUAAACAGUUAUUUAAUGAAUAAAAAAGGAGGGUGAAGCAACCCAAUGUGGUCUGGCAGGGACCAUGUGUCUGUUUGUGAUCACUUUCUGAGUCUCCUUUGGGGGAAAAAUGGCCCUGAGGUGCAAUCCAAUGCUAUGAGUUGCCCCCCUCAGCUGGCCUUUUUCUGAAUGAUGAACUCAGGGCACUUCCUCCAAAGUUGCAGAGAGGACCACACCCCAAACUAUCCCCAAGAGCAGAUUCCUUUAAAGCUCUCCCAGUUGUCAGACAAAAAAUGGU